This is a non-coding RNA of Caerostris darwini, 98 nucleotides long. Lineage: Eukaryota; Metazoa; Arthropoda; Arachnida; Araneae; Araneidae. The record is from the annotation of a GenBank genome assembly.
AACGACCGUACCAUGCUGAAUAUACCGGUUCUCGUCAAGCAUCAUUGGGCGCCGUCAGUACUUGGGUGGGUGACCACCUGGGAACACCGCGUGCCGUU